UCUAUCUGUUACCAAAUUAUAAA
This 23-nucleotide non-coding RNA is filed under the name Arabidopsis thaliana (thale cress). Lineage: Eukaryota; Viridiplantae; Streptophyta; Magnoliopsida; Brassicales; Brassicaceae. The record is from RNAcentral.